This 492-nucleotide ribosomal RNA is filed under the name uncultured bacterium. RNAcentral's name for it is "partial 16S ribosomal RNA". It matches the Rfam family "Bacterial small subunit ribosomal RNA", at positions 29 to 507 of the family's 1533-position model. The record is from RNAcentral.
AGUGAACGCUGGCGGUAGGCCUAACACAUGCAAGUCGAACGGCAGCACAGUAAGAGCUUGCUCUUACGGGUGGCGAGUGGCGGACGGGUGAGGAAUACAUCGGAAUCUACUUUUUCGUGGGGGAUAACGUAGGGAAACUUACGCUAAUACCGCAUACGACCUACGGGUGAAAGCAGGGGAUCUUCGGACCUUGCGCGAUUGAAUGAGCCGAUGUCGGAUUAGCUAGUUGGCGGGGUAAAGGCCCACCAAGGCGACGAUCCGUAGCUGGUCUGAGAGGAUGAGCAGCCACACUGGAACGGAGACACGGUCCAGACUCCUACGGGAGGCAGCAGUGGGGAAUAUUGGACAAUGGGCGCAAGCCUGAUCCAGCCAUACCGCGUGGGUGAAGAAGGCCUUCGGGUUGUAAAGCCCUUUUGUUGGGAAAGAAAAGCAGCAGGUUAAUACCCCGCUGUUCUGACGGUACCCAAAGAAUAAGCACCGGCUAACUUCGUG